Molecule: ribosomal RNA, 213 nt
Filed under: uncultured bacterium
Lineage: Bacteria
Description: partial 16S ribosomal RNA
Rfam family: Bacterial small subunit ribosomal RNA
Source: RNAcentral
CGCCUCCCUCCGCCGCCAUCAGACUACCGUACGGGACGGCGAGCGAGGUAGGGGUAAGUUUUGGCGCAAGUACGGGGGUAAACCCGUAGACGUAGCAACGCCGCGUGGAGGAGUGUAAAUACCGUUGGAUGUAAACUCCGUUCGAUAGGGAAGAUAAUGACGGUACCUAUAGAAGAAGCCCGGCUAACUUCGUGCCAGCAGCCGCGGUAAUAC